UGGGGAAUAUUGCACAAUGGGCGGAAGCCUGAUGCAGCAACGCCGCGUGCGGGAUGACGGCCUUCGGGUUGUAAACCGCUUUCGCCUGUGACGAAGCGUGAGUGACGGCAAUGGGUAAAGAAGCACCGGCUAACUACGUGCCAGCAGCCGCGGUGAUACGUAGGGUGCGAGCGUUGUCCGGAUUUAUUGGGCGUAAAGGGCUCGUAGGUGGUUGAUCGCGUCGGAAGUGUAAUCUUGGGGCUUAACCCUGAGCGUGCUUUCGAUACGGGUUGACUUGAGGAAGGUAGGGGAGAAUGGAAUUCCUGGUGGAGCGGUGGAAUGCGCAGAUAUCAGGAGGAACACCAGUGGCGAAGGCGGUUCUCUGGGCCUUUCCUGACGCUGAGGAGCGAAAGCGUGGGGAGCGAACA
This 407-nucleotide ribosomal RNA is filed under the name uncultured bacterium. RNAcentral's name for it is "partial 16S ribosomal RNA". It matches the Rfam family "Bacterial small subunit ribosomal RNA", at positions 355 to 774 of the family's 1533-position model. The record is from RNAcentral.